RNAcentral lists this ribosomal RNA (253 nucleotides) under uncultured bacterium. RNAcentral's name for it is "partial 16S ribosomal RNA". It matches the Rfam family "Bacterial small subunit ribosomal RNA", at positions 524 to 776 of the family's 1533-position model. The record is from RNAcentral.
UACGUAGGGGGCUAGCGUUGUCCGGAUUUAUUGGGCGUAAAGAGCGUGUAGGCGGCCAGGUAGGUCCGUUGUGAAAACUCGAGGCUCAACCUCGAGACGCCGAUGGAAACCAUCUGGCUAGAGUCCGGAAGAGGAGAGUGGAAUUCCUGGUGUAGCGGUGAAAUGCGCAGAUAUCAGGAAGAACACCCGUGGCUAAGGCGGCUCUCUAGUACGGUACUGACGCUGAGACGCGAAAGCGUGGGGAGCGAACAGG